RNAcentral lists this ribosomal RNA (305 nucleotides) under uncultured bacterium. Its description in RNAcentral is "bacterial SSU rRNA". It matches the Rfam family "Bacterial small subunit ribosomal RNA", at positions 335 to 655 of the family's 1533-position model. The record is from RNAcentral.
AUCCUACGGGGGGCAGCAGUGGGGAAUAUUGGGCAAUGGGCGCAAGCCUGACCCAGCAACGCCGCGUGAAGGAAGAAGGCUUUCGGGUUGUAAACUUCUUUUAUUGAGGACGAAACAAAUGACGGUACUCAAUGAAUAAGCCACGGCUAACUACGUGCCAGCAGCCGCGGUAAUACGUAGGGGGCAAGCGUUAUCCGGAUUUACUGGGUGUAAAGGGAGCGUAGACGGUGAUGCAAGUCUGGAGUGAAAGGCGGGGGCCCAACCCCCGGACUGCUCUGGAAACUGUAUGACUUGAGUGCAGGGGA